CCCUUGUACACACCGCCCGUCACACCAUGGAAGCAAGCAACACCCGAAGCCGGUGGCCUAACCCCUUGUGGGAGGGAGCCGUCGAAGGUGGGGCUCGUGACUGGGGUG
RNAcentral lists this ribosomal RNA (108 nucleotides) under uncultured bacterium. RNAcentral's name for it is "partial 16S ribosomal RNA". It matches the Rfam family "Bacterial small subunit ribosomal RNA", at positions 1378 to 1482 of the family's 1533-position model. The record is from RNAcentral.